This is a non-coding RNA of Carica papaya (papaya), 3158 nucleotides long. Lineage: Eukaryota; Viridiplantae; Streptophyta; Magnoliopsida; Brassicales; Caricaceae. The record is from RefSeq and is a predicted model, not a curated record.
AAAAAGAAGGGUAGAAGGUCCCGAAGCAGAGCGCCUCACGGGAUGAAAAAGAAUUUAAGCCCAACACGACGAAGACGAAGACGAAUAAUAUUUUCAACUAUAACCGACAAUAUCUUCUCUCGCCGCGAGCCUGCUUAUCGAGGGUUUUGCAGGUUUUGAGGUUGAAAAGUUGUAGCAGAGAGGACUUGAGUUUUAAUGAGGCGGUGCUUUUGACAGAAAAGGAGUUCGUGUAGAAGUUUAUAUCGAGGUCUUGAGAUAGUGCGGAGGAAUUGUUGGUAUGCUACAAAUCUCGUCUUUUGGAUUUAUCUUCUUCUUCUUCUGAGAAGGAAGACUCCUUACUGACACUACUCUCUACGCCCUUCAACUCUAAUAUGCAUCCUUAUUCUGCGGUAAUGUCAUUCUUGGACGUAAACUUAAAAUUGAAUGGUUUCUCGACAUUUCAGGCCUCAUAUUACAUCAGAAGGCUUGCAAAGGUGAUAUUAUAACAUUCCGAGCUCCUUUACGACUUCUUCAUAUGGUUGGAGUUUUUCUAAUCUGCCAAGAGUUAUGAUAAUAAAUUCUAUUAUGAGACUCCACUAAUAAAGUAAGGAGGAGCUCUUUUGGGUUCUGAUCUUGCUUGGUUCUUUUUUUUGUCAUGAGUUUCUCAGUUAACUCAAGGAGAUGCUCGUUUGGGCAACAUAAUAUGAUCAAUUGCCUGAGUGGAAAAAGUUUCAAGAAAAAAUUUGAUUUGAUUGUAAGUUAUGGGUUUCCGGAGAAAUUAAAGUGUGUUUAUGUUUCGAGGGUUAGCUUCUUCUUAUGACCUCCAAGGAGAAGUUGAAGACAAAAAUCCAAUUCUUCUUGAGCAUAAUUGGGUUUGAGAAGGAAAUUUUAGCUGAGAACCUGUCUGCUUGGCGUACAGUUUUGAAGAUAGAAUCUUUCCUUGUCACGGGGUUUUGCAAGUUUUGAGGUUGAGAAGUUGUAGCAAAGAGGACUUGAGUUUUUAUGAGGUGGUGCUUUUGACAGAAAAGGAGUUCGUGUAGAAGUUUAUAUCGAGGUCUUGAGAUAGUGUGGAGGAAUUGUUGUUUUUCAAGAAUCGGUAACCGUUCAGUUCCCAUGAGAUCUAGUUUUGUAGUGUAAGUAUGGUCAUAUGGCACUGGGAAAGCUCAUAUGUGGUGUUCCAGGCCUGAUUGGUUGUGUUGAAGGAAUGAGAGUGAGAUGUGUGGAAAAAUUGUGAGAUGAGAAAAAAUUAUAUGUUAUUAGAACUGACAAGAUCAAGUAUUGUAAUUUACGUGUCUGACCUUUGCCAUGGAGGGUUCGCUCUCAUGGCAGGUCAAAAAGUGUAAUAAAAUUUAUGUAUUGUUGGUUUUGGGGGGAUGAGGAGAUGGCACAGGAUAUUAAUAUAUUAUUUUGUCUGGCUCUCCCUAUCUCCCAUUUGUCUGCCUGUGUACUAUUUUUUUUUUUAAUUCUUAUAUUUAUUUUUUAACAAUUAAUAUAAAUUAUAUACUGACGUACAUUAUAUAUUUAUGUAAAUUAUAUAAUUUAUGUGUCUGAUCUUUUUCAUAGCGGGUGCGCUUGUAUAGCAGGUCAUAAAGUGUAAUAAUAUUCACGUCUUUUUUUGGUAUUUCACAAAAUUUGAGUAUGAGAGAUUAUAAAACGACUGCAAAAUAACAAAGUUGCUAGAUGACAUCACCCACCCAAAAAAAAUUUAAAUUUAAAUUAAAAUUGGGAGUUUUCUGGAUUCUGCUUUAAUUUGUAAUGUAUCAGAUGUCUCUGGUCACUUUGCUCUGGUAGGGAGUGAAGGAAGUAGGUGCUUAUCUUUUAACAUUAUGUUCAAGUUAGCUAUGCAUGAAUUUGGAAAGACGGGACAAUGGUUCAGAGUUUUAGGGAUAAUCUUUUUCUUGUUAAAAAAAAUUAGGGAUCGUGUUUACUUUCAUGUUUCAGAAAUUAAAGUCAUCUAGUUGGAGUACUACCUCUUUUUCCAAAUCACUAGAGAACCAUGUCAUUUUCCUUGCUUUGAAGUGGUGCAAGAGAAAAAGAAAAUCCAUAAAAGACCUAGGCAUGUUACAAAGUGGAAGAUAUGCUAUUUGAACAUAUGUGUAAAGAUAUAACUGACUUUUCAACUUAUAGAUUCUGAUCCGUAGAUAAAGAAAUUCAGAAACAACAAUGGUCACCUUUAUUGUGUUCCUUUUGGUAUCAAUUAGUUACUUGCAGUAUGUUAUUUUUGGAAUUCCGUCAUGAUGGAUUUGAUGCUGCAUUUUCAUUAAGACCUCGUAUUACAUCAGAAGGCAUGCAAUAGGUGAUAUUAUAACAUUCCAAACUCCUUUACGACUUCUUGAUAUGGUUGGAGUUUUUCUUAUAUGCUAAGAGUUAUGAUAAUAAAUUCUAUUAUGAGACUUCAUUAUCGUUUUGCUUUGCCUACAGCAACCUUGAUUUAGGAACCAAGAUGUUUUGAUUAAGAGAAUUGUUGUCAGAGCUGGAGAUUCUGUUGAGUAUGUUCCUAGAGUCCAUGUCUUCGUGUUAGGGGACAACCGAAACAACAGCUGCGACUCUACGAUUUGUACUAUUCUCAAAUUUUUAGAGAGUUUCUGUAUAUGAUUCAGUUUAGAGAUUGAAAAAAUGUUUUUUUCUCAUAUACUUUUAAGACAAUUUCUUUCUUCUUCCUGUUUUCAACUUACUAUUUUUUGAAUGUUGAUAAUUACUGUUAAAAAUAUUGCUGCUACAGACUUUCAAACAGAUCAAACUAAAUGGAAGAAAUUGUUUGUAAAUCACAUGGCUAUAUGUAGGAAUUGGUUGAUUAAUCUCUUAAACUAACGUCACAUGUAACCUUUUAUUAGUUGGUUUGUAUAUCAAGUGGACAUGAAAUUAUUCGAUUCUCACUCGAUUGAAUCGAAUAUACAUUGAGAACCACCAUGUGGGUUAGGGACAUUGUUGCCAGAGUUCUCGUUGCUAUGGCUUUUCCAUUUAUGUUAUCUUUUGCUUUUCUCUUUUUUAUUCAAUAGUUAAGUAUAUUUUGUAAUAGAAUAAAAUUAUGUAUUAGUUUGUUCCAUUAUUAUUCAAGUGAUUGAUUAGUACGAUAUUCUCAAGAGAUUGCAUUGUUGAAACGACGCUACAUUCUUAGAGGAUGAAUAGCCUCACAUAUAUUGAUAAACCAAUGAAUUGCCAUUGUUGUUAUCCCAAAA